This 253-nucleotide ribosomal RNA is filed under the name uncultured bacterium. RNAcentral describes it as "partial 16S ribosomal RNA". It matches the Rfam family "Bacterial small subunit ribosomal RNA", at positions 524 to 776 of the family's 1533-position model. The record is from RNAcentral.
UACAGAGGUCUCAAGCGUUGUUCGGAUUCAUUGGGCGUAAAGGGUGCGUAGGCGGCUUGUCGCGUCGACUGUGAAAUCUCAGGGCUCAACUCUGGCAUUGCAGUCGAUACGGGCAGGCUAGAGUUCGGUAGGGGAGACUGGAAUUCCUGGUGUAGCGGUGAAAUGCGCAGAUAUCAGGAGGAACACCGGUGGCGAAGGCGGGUCUCUGGGCCGAUACUGACGCUGAGGAGCGAAAGCGUGGGGAGCGAACAGG